GGGCGAUUAGCUCAGCUGGGAGAGCGCCUGCCUUACAAACAGGAUGUCGGCAGUUCGAGAUCCUGUCAUCGCCCACCA
RNAcentral lists this transfer RNA (78 nucleotides) under Negativicutes bacterium. RNAcentral's name for it is "tRNA-Val". It matches the Rfam family "tRNA". Rfam says of the family: Transfer RNA (tRNA) molecules are approximately 80 nucleotides in length. Their secondary structure includes four short double-helical elements and three loops (D, anti-codon, and T loops). Lineage: Bacteria; Bacillati; Bacillota; Negativicutes. The record is from RNAcentral.